RNAcentral lists this transfer RNA (88 nucleotides) under Idiomarina abyssalis. RNAcentral's name for it is "tRNA-Ser". It matches the Rfam family "tRNA". Rfam says of the family: Transfer RNA (tRNA) molecules are approximately 80 nucleotides in length. Their secondary structure includes four short double-helical elements and three loops (D, anti-codon, and T loops). RNAcentral also lists the same sequence under 31 other names. The record is from RNAcentral. Lineage: Bacteria; Pseudomonadati; Pseudomonadota; Gammaproteobacteria; Alteromonadales; Idiomarinaceae.
GGAGAGGUGUCCGAGUGGCUGAAGGAGCACGCCUGGAAAGUGUGUAUACGGCAACGUAUCGAGGGUUCGAAUCCCUCUCUCUCCGCCA